GACGAACGCUGGCGGCGUGCCUAAUACAUGCAAGUUGAGCGAUGAAGAUUGGUGCUUGCCCCAAUUUGAAGAGCAGCGAACGGGUGAGUAACGCGUGGGGAAUCUGCCUUUGAGCGGGGGACAACAUUUGGAAACGAAUGCUAAUACCGCAUAAUAACUUUAAACAUAAGUUUUAAGUUUGAAAGAUGCAAUUGCAUCACUCAAAGAUGAUCCCGCGCUGUAUUAGCUAGUUGGUGAGGUAAAGGCUCACCAAGGCGAUGAUACAUAGCCGACCUGAGAGGGUGAUCGGCCACAUUGGGACUGAGACACGGCCCAAACUCCUACGGGAGGCAGCAGUAGGGAAUCUUCGGCAAUGGACGAAAGUCUGACCGAGCAACGCCGCGGGAGUGAAGAAGGUUUUCGGAUCGUAAAACUCUGUUGGUAGAGAAGAACGUUGGUGAGAGUGGAAAGCUCAUCAAGUGACGGUAACUACCCAGAAAGGGACGGCUAACUACGUG
This 497-nucleotide ribosomal RNA is filed under the name uncultured bacterium. RNAcentral's name for it is "partial 16S ribosomal RNA". It matches the Rfam family "Bacterial small subunit ribosomal RNA", at positions 28 to 507 of the family's 1533-position model. The record is from RNAcentral.